AUUGAACGCUGGCGGCAGGCCUAACACAUGCAAGUCGAACGGUAACAGAAAGCAGCUUGCUGCUUUGCUGACGAGUGGCGGACGGGUGAGUAAUGUCUGGGAAACUGCCUGAUGGAGGGGGAUAACUACUGGAAACGGUAGCUAAUACCGCAUAACGUCGCAAGACCAAAGAGGGGGACCUUCGGGCCUCUUGCCAUCGGAUGUGCCCAGAUGGGAUUAGCUAGUAGGUGGGGUAAAGGCUCACCUAGGCGACGAUCCCUAGCUGGUCUGAGAGGAUGACCAGCCACACUGGAACUGAGACACGGUCCAGACGCCUACGGGAGGCAGCAGUGGGGAAUAUUGCACAAUGGGCGCAAGCCUGAUGCAGCCAUGCCGCGUGUAUGAAGAAGGCCUUCGGGUUGUAAAGUACUUUCAGCGGGGAGGAAGGGAGUAAAGUUAAUACCUUUGCUCAUUGACGGUACCCGCAGAAGAAGCACCGGCUAACUACGUG
Molecule: ribosomal RNA, 490 nt
Filed under: uncultured bacterium
Lineage: Bacteria
Description: partial 16S ribosomal RNA
Rfam family: Bacterial small subunit ribosomal RNA
Source: RNAcentral